ACUGUUUCUAAGAAAUUUUUUGUUAGUUUUAGCCUCUUUUGAGAGAAAAUGGGUAUAAGUAUCGUCUAAACACUCUUAAUCUAUCUCUAACUCUUAUAAUUAGUC
Molecule: small RNA, 105 nt
Filed under: Arabidopsis thaliana (thale cress)
Lineage: Eukaryota; Viridiplantae; Streptophyta; Magnoliopsida; Brassicales; Brassicaceae
Description: ATSL035120
Source: RNAcentral